CGGACGGCUGAGUAACGCGUGGGAACAUGCCCCAAAGUGAGGAAUAACUGCCCGAAAGGGUGGCUAAUGCCGCAUAUGAUCUUCGGAUUAAAGGAGUAAUCCGCUUUGGGAGUGGCCUGCGUACGAUUAGAUUGUUGGUGAGGUAAUGGCUCACCAAGUCGACGAUCGUUAACUGGUCUGAGAGGAUGAUCAGUCAGACUGGAACUGAGACACGGUCCAGACUCCUACGGGAGGCAGCAGUGAGGAAUCUUCCACAAUGGGCGAAAGCCUGAUGGAGCAACGCCGCGUGCAGGAUGAAGGCCUUCGGGUCGUAAACUGCUUUUAUGAGUGAAGAAUAUGACGGUAACUCAUGAAUAAGCACCGGCUAACUACGUGCCAGCAGCCGCGGUCAUACGUAGGGUGCAAGCAUUAUCCGGAGUGACUGGGCGUAAAGAGUUGCGUAGGUGGUUUGUUAAGUGAAUAGUGAAAUCUGGGGGCUCAACCUCACAGACUAUUAUUCAAACUGGCAAACUCGAGAAUGGUAGAGGUAACUGGAAUUUCUAGUGUAGGAGUGAAAUCCGUAGAUAUUAGAAGGAACACCAAUGGCGUAGGCAGGUUACUGGACCAUUUCUGACACUGAGGCACGAAAGCGUGGGGAGCGAACCGGAUUAGAUACCCGGGUAGUCCACGCCGUAAACGAUGGAUACUAGCUGUUGGGGGUAUCGACCCCCCCAGUAGCGAAGCUAACGCGUUAAGUAUCCCGCCUGUGGAGUACGGUCGCAAGACUAAAACAUAAAGGAAUUGACGGGGACCCGCACAAGCGGUGGGAUUGUGUUCUUUAAUUCGAUGAUAAACGGAGAACCUUACCAGGGUUUGACAUCCCGAGAAUUUUGCCGAAAGGCGAGAGUGCUUUAUUGAACUCGGUGACAGGUGAUGCAUGGCCGUCGUCAGCUCGUGUCGUGAGAUGUUUGGUUAAGUCCAUCAACGAGCGCAACCCUUGUGAUUAGUUGUAUUUUUCUAAUCAGACUGCCCCGGUAACGGGGAGGACAGGAGGGGGAUGAUGUCAGGUCAGUAUUUCCCUUACAUCCUGGGCUAGAAACGCAAUACAAUGGCCAGUACAAUGUGCAGCGAAGCCGCGAGGUGAAGCAAAUCACAUCAAAGCUGGUCCCAGUUCAGAUAAGAGGCUGAAACU
This 1171-nucleotide ribosomal RNA is filed under the name uncultured bacterium. Its description in RNAcentral is "bacterial SSU rRNA". It matches the Rfam family "Bacterial small subunit ribosomal RNA", at positions 99 to 1312 of the family's 1533-position model. The record is from RNAcentral.